AUCACUUUUUGGCCUUUUGGCUAAGAUCCAGUGUAGUAUCUGUUCUUAUCAGUUUACUAUCUGAUGCAUCAUCUAUCUGAGGACAAUAUAUUAAAUGGAUUUUCAGAGCAGGGAGAUGAAAUAGGAGCUUGCUCUGUCUACUCUGCACAUCGACCUGGUACAGCAGGACCUCCAAGAAUGGUGCAAUGCUC
Small nuclear RNA from Manis javanica (Malayan pangolin), 191 nucleotides. RefSeq annotates it as U2 spliceosomal RNA. Lineage: Eukaryota; Metazoa; Chordata; Mammalia; Pholidota; Manidae. The record is from RefSeq and is a predicted model, not a curated record.